UACGUAGGUGGCAAGCGUUAUCCGGAAUUAUUGGGCGUAAAGAGCGCGCAGGUGGUUGAUUAAGUCUGAUGUGAAAGCCCACGGCUUAACCGUGGAGGGUCAUUGGAAACUGGUCGACUUGAGUGCAGGAGAGGGAAGUGGAAUUCCAUGUGUAGCGGUGAAAUGCGUAGAGAUAUGGAGGAACACCAGUGGCGAAGGCGGCUUCCUGGUCUGUAACUGACACUGAGGCGCGAAAGCGUGGGGAGCAAACAGGAUUAGAUACCCG
Molecule: ribosomal RNA, 265 nt
Filed under: uncultured prokaryote
Description: partial 16S ribosomal RNA
Rfam family: Bacterial small subunit ribosomal RNA
Source: RNAcentral